This is a long non-coding RNA of Xenopus tropicalis (tropical clawed frog), 939 nucleotides long. RefSeq lists it as uncharacterized. The transcript has 2 exons. The record is from RefSeq and is a predicted model, not a curated record. Lineage: Eukaryota; Metazoa; Chordata; Amphibia; Anura; Pipidae.
CACCAAUUUUCAGGCCCCCACUGAGCCCUUGGACAGAAGACAAACUGCACACUUUUGAGAUCAUUAAACUACAAUGAGCCUGAUUAUGAACCGUACUCUGGCACCCAGAUUUCGUUUUUGGAUUGCACCCUAAGAAUAAGUCUAAUAUAUAAAGAAUAUAUGGAACUCCUCUCACCUUUGCCUGACCAGUGCAUGACAUCCCACCCAGGAGAGCCAACCCUAGGGUCAUCUGCAUGACCACGUUAAAUGAUUUGGUACUUUUAAAGGUUACAGAUCCAUGGGAAUGUUUGCAGUGUGCUUACAGCUCAACACGCUAUUUGGCCACUUAGUCUGCUGUUGUCACAAGGAGUAUUCAAUGCGUUAGGAAUGUUGGAGAAACAUCAGUGGAAUACCAGUAUCAGAUAGAGAAGGAGGCAGCUUGCACAAUUUCUCUGUAUGUGCCCACACUGUGGAUCUAAUACAAUAAAUAUUUUCUGCAACAGCCCUCCAACAACACAGCUUUGAGCCUGUGAGCCCUAGGGCACCCACUAUAGGGGUUCUGCCUUACAAUAAGUCAAUUUCUUGGUCAUUUCAAUGGCAAAAUGGCACAUGACAUAUUGGUGCUACUUACACCCUUGAAAUGCUGUGUGCAACAACCAGCAGAAAAAAGGAGGAGGGUGGGCUGCCCACAUAUGGCAACUUCCCAUAUAAAAACAUCUGCAUAUUAUUAUUUUAGUUUAUUUUAAAAUGUCCAGAGUUUUCCUAGCAUACAAAAUAUAAAGCAACCAAAAGAACAAACAGAGCAUCAAACAAAAACAAAUGUUUAGCGGCAAUGCCCGUGAGAGCUUACAAUCUAGACUAUUUAUGCAUUCCUACGGCAGCAACGUGUACUGCUGGUUUAUAUAAUGUGUAUGAUGUGUUAACUAAAUAAGCACUGCAAAAUAAAACAAUUGGAAUAUU